This 445-nucleotide ribosomal RNA is filed under the name uncultured bacterium. Its description in RNAcentral is "partial 16S ribosomal RNA". It matches the Rfam family "Bacterial small subunit ribosomal RNA", at positions 354 to 796 of the family's 1533-position model. The record is from RNAcentral.
GUAGGGAAUAUUGGGCAAUGGAUGCAAGUCUGACCCAGCCAUCCCGCGUGCCGGAAGAAGGCCCUCAGGGUUGUAAACGGCUUUUGACGGUGAAGAAUCGACAGGAUGCGUCCUGUUUUGACGGUAGCCGUUGAAUAAGCACCGGCUAACUCCGUGCCAGCAGCCGCGGUAAUACGGCGGGUGCGAGCGUUGUCCGGAUUUAUUGGGUUUAAAGGGUGCAUAGGCUGGAAGGUCAGUCAGCGGUGAAAAGCUGUCGCUUAACGAUAGUCUUGCCGCAGAUACUUCCUUUCUUGGAUGAGGAGGAGGCCACUGGAACGGAUGGUGUAGCGGUGAAAUGCAUAGAUAUCAUCCAGAACACCGAUUGCGAAGGCAGGUGGCUGUACCUUAAUCGACGCUGAUGCACGAAAGCAUGGGGAGCAAACAGGAUUAGAAACCCUUGUAGUCC